AGUGAACGCUGGCGGUAGGCCUAACCCAUGCAAGUCGAACGGCAGCACAGUAAGAGCUUGCUCUUACGGGUGGCGAGUGGCGGACGGGUGAGGAAUACAUCGGAAUCUACUUUUUCGUGGGGGAUAACGUAGGGAAACUUACGCUAAUACCGCAUACGACCUACGGGUGAAAGCAGGGGAUCUUCGGACCUUGCGCGAUUGAAUGAGCCGAUGUCGGAUUAGCUAGUUGGCGGGGUAAAGGCCCACCAAGGCGACGAUCCGUAGCUGGUCUGAGAGGAUGAUCAGCCACACUGGAACUGAGACACGGUCCAGACUCCUACGGGAGGCAGCAGUGGGGAAUAUUGGACAAUGGGCGCAAGCCUGAUCCAGCCAUACCGCGUGGGUGAAGAAGGCCUUCGGGUUGUAAAGCCCUUUUGGUGGGAAAGAAAAGCAGCAGGUUAAUACCCCGCUGUUCUGACGGUACCCAAAGAAUAAGCACCGGCUAACUUCGUG
Molecule: ribosomal RNA, 492 nt
Filed under: uncultured bacterium
Lineage: Bacteria
Description: partial 16S ribosomal RNA
Rfam family: Bacterial small subunit ribosomal RNA
Source: RNAcentral